This 88-nucleotide transfer RNA is filed under the name Candidatus Eiseniibacteriota bacterium. RNAcentral's name for it is "Candidatus Eisenbacteria bacterium (sediment metagenome) tRNA-Leu". It matches the Rfam family "tRNA". From Rfam's summary of the family: Transfer RNA (tRNA) molecules are approximately 80 nucleotides in length. Their secondary structure includes four short double-helical elements and three loops (D, anti-codon, and T loops). The record is from RNAcentral. Lineage: Bacteria; Candidatus Eiseniibacteriota.
GCCGGGAUGGUGGAACUGGCCAGACACGGCGGACUUAAAAUCCGCCGGGCGCAAGCCCGUGCAGGUUCGAGCCCUGCUCCCGGCACCG